UAUCUCUGUAGAGUCUGCAUAUCAAUAAGCGGAGGAAAAGAAACUAACAAGGAUUCCCUUAGUAACGGCGAGUGAAGCGGGAAGAGCUCAAAUUUGAAAUCUUCAAGGUUCUACCUUGACGAAUUGUAGUUUAAAGAAGUGUUUUCUGUUGGAGUUUUGGUAAAAGUUCUUUGGAAUAGGACAUCAUAGAGGGUGAGAAUCCCGUAUUUGACCAUUAUUUCCAGCUUUGUGAUACACUUUCAAAGAGUCGGAUUGUUUGGGAAUGCAGUCCAAAAUGGGUGGUAAAUUUCAUCUAAAGCUAAAUACUGGCGAGAGACCGAUAGCGAACAAGUACCGUGAGGGAAAGAUGAAAAGAACUUUGAAAAGAGAGUUAAACAGUACGUGAAAUUGUCAAAAGGGAAGCGUUUGACACCAGUGUUGUUUUCUCGAAAAUCAAUUAAAAAAAGUUGGAUUUUGUAUUGUUAAGACCUUAUCAGCUUACUGUACUCUUUUCUUGCUUUUUUUAGUGCACUUUUCGUUUAACAAGUCAACAUCAAUUUCUUUUGUUGUAAAAGAGUCAUUGGAAGGUGGCUUUCACUUCGGUGAAAGUGUUUAUAGCCUUUGGCUUCUGCAAUCGGAGAGAUUGAGGUCUGCAGCGUAGAUCCUUCGGGGCUAGAUACGUAGAUGCUAAGUUAUAGCCUUUCAUAGACAACUUGUUGACUAUGAUCAGUCAUGUAGCUUACUCGCUUAUGCUAUUUUACCUACGCUUAGGAUGUUGAAGAUGUAGCACAUCA
RNAcentral lists this ribosomal RNA (773 nucleotides) under uncultured Neocallimastigales. RNAcentral's name for it is "partial large subunit ribosomal RNA". It matches the Rfam family "Eukaryotic large subunit ribosomal RNA", at positions 24 to 642 of the family's 3401-position model. The record is from RNAcentral. Lineage: Eukaryota; Fungi; Neocallimastigomycota; Neocallimastigomycetes; Neocallimastigales.